GACGAACGCUGGCGGCGUGCCUAAUACAUGCAAGUAGAACGCUGAAGGAGGAGCUUGCUCUUCUGGAUGAGUUGCGAACGGGUGAGUAACGCGUAGGUAACCUGCCUGGUAGCGGGGGAUAACUAUUGGAAACGAUAGCUAAUACCGCAUAACAGUAGAUGUUGCAUGACAUUUACUUAAAAGGUGCAAUUGCAUCACUACCAGAUGGACCUGCGUUGUAUUAGCUAGUUGGUGGGGUAACGGCUCACCAAGGCGACGAUACAUAGCCGACCUGAGAGGGUGAUCGGCCACACUGGGACUGAGACACGGCCCAGACUCCUACGGGAGGCAGCAGUAGGGAAUCUUCGGCAAUGGACGGAAGUCUGACCGAGCAACGCCGCGUGAGUGAAGAAGGUUUUCGGAUCGUAAAGCUCUGUUGUAAGAGAAGAACGAGUGUGAGAGUGGAAAGUUCACACUGUGACGGUAUCUUAACAGAAAGGGACGGCUAACUACGUG
Molecule: ribosomal RNA, 495 nt
Filed under: uncultured bacterium
Lineage: Bacteria
Description: partial 16S ribosomal RNA
Rfam family: Bacterial small subunit ribosomal RNA
Source: RNAcentral